UGUGAGCUCGAUGAGUAGGGCGGGACACGUGGUAUCCUGUCUGAAUAUGGGGGGACCAUCCUCCAAGGCUAAAUACUCCUGACUGACCGAUAGUGAACCAGUACCGUGAGGGAAAGGCGAAAAGAACCCCGGCGAGGGGAGUGAAAAAGAACCUGAAACCGUGUACGUACAAGCAGUGGGAGCCUCUUUAUGGGGUGACUGCGUACCUUUUGUAUAAUGGGUCAGCGACUUAUAUUCUGUAGCAAGGUUAACCGAAUAGGGGAGCCGAAGGGAAACCGAGUCUUAACUGGGCGUUAAGUUGCAGGGUAUAGACCCGAAACCCGGUGAUCUAGCCAUGGGCAGGUUGAAGGUUGGGUAACACUAACUGGAGGACCGAACCGACUAAUGUUGAAAAAUUAGCGGAUGACUUGUGGCUGGGGGUGAAAGGCCAAUCAAACCGGGAGAUAGCUGGUUCUCCCCGAAAGCUAUUUAGGUAGCGCCUCGUGAAUUCAUCUCCGGGGGUAGAGCACUGUUUCGGCAAGGGGGUCAUCCCGACUUACCAACCCGAUGCAAACUGCGAAUACCGGAGAAUGUUAUCACGGGAGACACACGGCGGGUGCUAACGUCCGUCGUGAAGAGGGAAACAACCCAGACCGCCAGCUAAGGUCCCAAAGUCAUGGUUAAGUGGGAAACGAUGUGGGAAGGCCCAGACAGCCAGGAUGUUGGCUUAGAAGCAGCCAUCAUUUAAAGAAAGCGUAAUAGCUCACUGGUCGAGUCGGCCUGCGCGGAAGAUGUAACGGGGCUAAACCAUG
Molecule: ribosomal RNA, 791 nt
Filed under: Escherichia coli
Lineage: Bacteria; Pseudomonadati; Pseudomonadota; Gammaproteobacteria; Enterobacterales; Enterobacteriaceae
Description: partial 23S ribosomal RNA
Rfam family: Bacterial large subunit ribosomal RNA
Source: RNAcentral